UCCCUGGAGGACUAGUGGUUAGGCCACAGCGCUCUCAUCGCCGUGGCCCGGGUUCGAUUCCCAUCCAGGGAA
RNAcentral lists this transfer RNA (72 nucleotides) under Pangasius djambal. Its description in RNAcentral is "tRNA-Glu". It matches the Rfam family "tRNA". From Rfam's summary of the family: Transfer RNA (tRNA) molecules are approximately 80 nucleotides in length. Their secondary structure includes four short double-helical elements and three loops (D, anti-codon, and T loops). Further hydrogen bonds mediate the characteristic L-shaped molecular structure. tRNAs have two regions of fundamental functional importance: the anti-codon, which is responsible for specific mRNA codon recognition, and the 3' end, to which the tRNAs corresponding amino acid is attached (by aminoacyl-tRNA synthetases). tRNAs cope with the degeneracy of the genetic code in two manners: having more than one tRNA (with a specific anti-codon) for a particular amino acid; and 'wobble' base-pairing, i.e. permitting non-standard base-pairing at the 3rd anti-codon position. The record is from RNAcentral. Lineage: Eukaryota; Metazoa; Chordata; Actinopteri; Siluriformes; Pangasiidae.